This is a non-coding RNA of Tympanuchus pallidicinctus (lesser prairie-chicken), 930 nucleotides long. Lineage: Eukaryota; Metazoa; Chordata; Aves; Galliformes; Phasianidae. The record is from the annotation of a RefSeq genome assembly.
CCAGCAGCCAGCACACUCCUUGGCUGCGCUCUCGCUGGGGCAGGGGCUGCAGCCCUCCCCUGCUGCCGCCCUGCUGCCUGUCUGGGCAGCUCAGCAGAGACAGGACGUGACAAACAGCACACGGGGCUGUGCGGCUGCUGUGGGCAGCCCUCCUGCGAGGGGGGGAAGGCAAAGGAAGCGGCGCUGGGAAGAGGCACGGUCCGGUUUAAGCGCAGCUGUCUGCUGGGGCUGCUGUUGUGGAAAUGGCUGCAAAUGCUUCCUGAUCCUCUCGGCAGGUAGAGCAGCCUCAUUGGCAAUCACAGAAAGGAGUGGUUUCCACUGCUCGGAUCUGCUGUGGGACCUCUCGAGUGUGAGACUGCGGCUGUCCACGCAGGGAAGCCCGAAGGAGAGCAGCAACCAUGUGGCUGCUGACAGCUCUCAUGCUGGCAGCUGGUUUCUCCUGUAGCUCUGCACAAGCCCUGCAGCAAAGUCCAGUGUCCAUCACCAAGCCUGAAAACAAAACGGUGCUCAUCACCUGCCGCAUCUCCAUCUCCAGCUUUGACAGAGUCUUCAUUCACUGGUACCGCAGGAGGCCUGGGGCAGCUCCCAGGCGCAUUGCCUACAUGGCAACCAGGCUGUUCCUUGAGAAUGAGUCCGAUGAGGGGAAAUUCAGCAUCGAGAAGGACCUCGCCAAGUCCCAGUGCACCCUGACAGUGGGCAGACUCACUGCACAAGACGCUGCUACCUACUACUGUGCCAGAUGGGAUGCACAGCAGCAGAGAGCCAUAGGGAACCUGCACAAAGACACUCUCUGCUUCCUGAACGAGACGUUACAAUGCAGACAACUUGUGGGACCUUCCCUCUGCAUCUUUAUUCUAGGCACAUCCUAUGUGGGCUCUAAAACGGUUGCGUUUCUCGUACCGUUUGGCCCAGCCUAGAAGGUGCCUCUGU